AUUGAACGCUGGCGGCAGGCCUAACACAUGCAAGUCGAGCGGAUGAGAGGAGCUUGCUCCUCGAUUCAGCGGCGGACGGGUGAGUAAUGCCUAGGAAUCUGCCCAGUAGUGGGGGACAACGUUUCGAAAGGAACGCUAAUACCGCAUACGUCCUACGGGAGAAAGUGGGGGAUCUUCGGACCUCACGCUAUUGGAUGAGCCUAGGUCGGAUUAGCUAGUUGGUAGGGUAAAGGCCUACCAAGGCGACGAUCCGUAACUGGUCUGAGAGGAUGAUCAGUCACACUGGAACUGGGACACGGUCCAGACUCCUACGGGAGGCAGCAGUGGGGAAUAUUGGACAAUGGGCGCAAGCCUGAUCCAGCCAUGCCGCGUGUGUGAAGAAGGCCCUCGGGUCGUAAAGCACUUUAAGUUGGGAGGAAGGGCUUACAGCGAAUACCUGUGAGUUUUGACGUUACCGACAGAAUAAGCACCGGCUAACUUCGUGCCAGCAGCCGCUGUAA
RNAcentral lists this ribosomal RNA (500 nucleotides) under uncultured bacterium. RNAcentral describes it as "partial 16S ribosomal RNA". It matches the Rfam family "Bacterial small subunit ribosomal RNA", at positions 30 to 523 of the family's 1533-position model. The record is from RNAcentral.